This 74-nucleotide transfer RNA is filed under the name Eutypa lata UCREL1. RNAcentral's name for it is "tRNA-Ile (AAT) (tRNA-Ile-AAT-1-1)". It matches the Rfam family "tRNA". From Rfam's summary of the family: Transfer RNA (tRNA) molecules are approximately 80 nucleotides in length. Their secondary structure includes four short double-helical elements and three loops (D, anti-codon, and T loops). The record is from RNAcentral. Lineage: Eukaryota; Fungi; Ascomycota; Sordariomycetes; Xylariales; Diatrypaceae.
GGUCGGUUAGCUCAGUUGGUUAGAGCGUCGUACUAAUAAUGCGAAGGUCGGGAGUUCAAGCCUCCCACUGACCA